This 433-nucleotide ribosomal RNA is filed under the name uncultured bacterium. Its description in RNAcentral is "partial 16S ribosomal RNA". It matches the Rfam family "Bacterial small subunit ribosomal RNA", at positions 29 to 507 of the family's 1533-position model. The record is from RNAcentral.
AACGAACGCUGGCGGCAUGCCUAACACAUGCAAGUCGAACGAGACCUUCGGGUCUAGUGGCGCACGGGUGCGUAACGCGUGGGAAUCUGCCCUUGGGUUCGGAAUAACAGUGAGAAAUUACUGCUAAUACCGGAUGAUGUCUUCGGACCAAAGAUUUAUCGCCCUGGGAUGAGCCCGCGUAGGAUUAGCUAGUUGGUGGGGUAAUGGCCUACCAAGGCGACGAUCCUUAGCUGGUCUGAGAGGAUGAUCAGCCACACUGGGACUGAGACACGGCCCAGACUCCUACGGGAGGCAGCAGUGGGGAAUAUUGGACAAUGGGCGCAAGCCUGAUCCAGCAAUGCCGCGUGAGUGAUGAAGGCCUUAGGGUUGUAAAGCUCUUUUACCCGGGAUGAUAAUGACAGUACCGGGAGAAUAAGCUCCGGCUAACUCCGUG